UUGAAGAGUUUGAUCAUGGCUCAGAUUGAACGCUGGCGGCAGGCCUAACACAUGCAAGUCGAACGGUAACAUUUCUAGCUUGCUAGAAGAUGACGAGUGGCGGACGGGUGAGUAAUGCUUGGGAACUUGCCUUUGCGAGGGGGAUAACAGUUGGAAACGACUGCUAAUACCGCAUAAUGUCUACGGACCAAACGGGGCUUAGGCUCCGGCGCAAAGAGAGGCCCAAGUGAGAUUAGCUAGUUGGUAAGGUAAUGGCUUACCAAGGCAACGAUCUCUAGCUGUUCUGAGAGGAAGAUCAGCCACACUGGAACUGAGACACGGUCCAGACUCCUACGGGAGGCAGCAGUGGGGAAUAUUGCACAAUGGGGGAAACCCUGAUGCAGCCAUGCCGCGUGUGUGAAGAAGGCCUUCGGGUUGUAAAGCACUUUCAGUUGUGAGGAAAAGUUAGUAGUUAAUACCUGCUAGCCGUGACGUUAACAACAGAAGAAGCACCGGCUAACUCCGUGCCAGCAGCCGCGGUAAUACGGAGGGUGCGAGCGUUAAUCGGAAUUACUGGGCGUAAAGCGCACGCAGGCGGUUUGUUAAGCUAGAUGUGAAAGCCCCGGGCUCAACCUGGGAUAGUCAUUUAGAACUGGCAGACUAGAGUCUUGGAGAGGGGAGUGGAAUUCCAGGUGUAGCGGUGAAAUGCGUAGAUAUCUGGAGGAACAUCAGUGGCGAAGGCGACUCCCUGGCCAAAGACUGACGCUCAUGUGCGAAAGUGUGGGUAGCGAACAGGAUUAGAUACCCUGGUAGUCCACACCGUAAACGCUGUCUACUAGCUGUUUGUGACUUUAAGUCGUGAGUAGCGAAGCUAACGCGCUAAGUAGACCGCCUGGGGAGUACGGCCGCAAGGUUAAAACUCAAAUGAAUUGACGGGGGCCCGCACAAGCGGUGGAGCAUGUGGUUUAAUUCGAUGCAACGCGAAGAACCUUACCUACACUUGACAUGCUGAGAACUUUCUAGAGAUAGAUUGGUGCCUUCGGGAACUCAGACACAGGUGCUGCAUGGCUGUCGUCAGCUCGUGUCGUGAGAUGUUGGGUUAAGUCCCGCAACGAGCGCAACCCUUGUCCUUAGUUGCCAGCCUUAAGUUGGGCACUCUAAGGAGACU
RNAcentral lists this ribosomal RNA (1147 nucleotides) under Cylindrotheca closterium. Its description in RNAcentral is "partial Bacterial small subunit ribosomal RNA". It matches the Rfam family "Bacterial small subunit ribosomal RNA", at positions 1 to 1150 of the family's 1533-position model. The record is from RNAcentral. Lineage: Eukaryota; Bacillariophyta; Bacillariophyceae; Bacillariales; Bacillariaceae.